AAACUGCACCACCCGCAACCGCAGGGCUCUCCAGAAGGUGGUGCGGUCUGCCCAAAGCAUCACCGGGCACACACUGCCUGCCCUCCAGGAAACCUAUAGCACCCGAUGUCACAGAAAGGCCAAAAAGAUCAUUAAGGACAUCAACCACCCGAGCCACGGCCUGUUCACCCCGUUAUCAUCCAGAAGGAAAGGUACCAAAAGGGGGUUGGCAUCAAUCAGAGAGGAGCUGUCAGUGGUGCAGAAGUUCCAGUCCUACACCCAAGAUGCCGACCAGAACUACGACUUUGCCAGCAACAGUGUCGUCCAGCAUCUUGAGCCCGGCGAUGAGAUCUACAUCAAGCUGGACCGGGGAUAAGGCAAGAAGUACAGCACCUUCUCCGGCUUCAUAGUCUACGCCGAUGAACAGAUCAUCUAUUUUACGCUAGGCUAUUCACUUCAUCUGCUAUAUUCUCUCGUUUAGAUUGGUUAACCCGCUGUCGUUUAGAAGACAGGUGGUUAAAGAGAAACUGGGGGACCUUGACACAGAAGUGAACCUUUAAAUUUACACUAUAAUGGAUGUUUAGUUUUACGAGUAAAAAUCU
Molecule: long non-coding RNA, 581 nt
Filed under: Salmo salar (Atlantic salmon)
Lineage: Eukaryota; Metazoa; Chordata; Actinopteri; Salmoniformes; Salmonidae
Description: lncRNA (ENSSSAG00000096412.1, ENSSSAG00075034065.1)
Source: RNAcentral